This 201-nucleotide small RNA is filed under the name Vigna angularis var. angularis. RNAcentral's name for it is "Non-protein coding transcript". The record is from RNAcentral. Lineage: Eukaryota; Viridiplantae; Streptophyta; Magnoliopsida; Fabales; Fabaceae.
GUAAAUGGGAAGUUCCCGGGACCUCGUGUUAUUGCCAGAGAAGGAGACAGAUUGGUGGUUAAGGUGGUGAACCAUGUUCCAAACAACAUCACCAUUCAUUGGCACGGAGUGAGACAGCUACGUAGUGCAUGGUCGGAUGGACCAUCUUACAUAACUCAAUGUCCGGUACAAAGUGGUCAGAGUUAUGUGUACAACUUCAGC